CAGUCGCCACGGUAAUACGAAGGGUGCAAGCGUUAAUCGGAAUUACUGGGCGUAAAGCGUGCGUAGGCGGUUUGUUAAGUCUGUUGUGAAAUCCCCGGGCUCAACCUGGGAAUGGCAAUGGAUACUGGCAAGCUAGAGUGUGUCAGAGGAUGGUGGAAUUCCCGGUGUAGCGGUGAAAUGCGUAGAGAUCGGGAGGAACAUCAGCGGCGAAGGCGGCCAUCUGGGACAACACUGACGCUGAGGCACGAAAGCGUGGGGAGCAAACAGGAUUAGAUACCCCUGUAGUCCCUGUCUCUUAUAC
RNAcentral lists this ribosomal RNA (301 nucleotides) under uncultured bacterium. RNAcentral describes it as "partial 16S ribosomal RNA". It matches the Rfam family "Bacterial small subunit ribosomal RNA", at positions 509 to 807 of the family's 1533-position model. The record is from RNAcentral.